RNAcentral lists this ribosomal RNA (2150 nucleotides) under Escherichia coli. Its description in RNAcentral is "partial 23S ribosomal RNA". It matches the Rfam family "Bacterial large subunit ribosomal RNA", at positions 1 to 2167 of the family's 2925-position model. The record is from RNAcentral. Lineage: Bacteria; Pseudomonadati; Pseudomonadota; Gammaproteobacteria; Enterobacterales; Enterobacteriaceae.
GGGUUGUGAGGUUAAGCGACUAAGCGUACACGGUGGAUGCCCUGGCAGUCAGAGGCGAUGAAGGACGUGCUAAUCUGCGAUAAGCGUCGGUAAGGUGAUAUGAACCGUUAUAACCGGCGAUUUCCGAAUGGGGAAACCCAGUGUGUUUCGACACACUAUCAUUAACUGAAUCCAUAGGUUAAUGAGGCGAACCGGGGGAACUGAAACAUCUAAGUACCCCGAGGAAAAGAAAUCAACCGAGAUUCCCCCAGUAGCGGCGAGCGAACGGGGAGCAGCCCAGAGCCUGAAUCAGUGUGUGUGUUAGUGGAAGCGUCUGGAAAGGCGCGCGAUACAGGGUGACAGCCCCGUACACAAAAAUGCACAUGCUGUGAGCUCGAUGAGUAGGGCGGGACACGUGGUAUCCUGUCUGAAUAUGGGGGGACCAUCCUCCAAGGCUAAAUACUCCUGACUGACCGAUAGUGAACCAGUACCGUGAGGGAAAGGCGAAAAGAACCCCGGCGAGGGGAGUGAAAAAGAACCUGAAACCGUGUACGUACAAGCAGUGGGAGCACGCUUAGGCGUGUGACUGCGUACCUUUUGUAUAAUGGGUCAGCGACUUAUAUUCUGUAGCAAGGUUAACCGAAUAGGGGAGCCGAAGGGAAACCGAGUCUUAACUGGGCGUUAAGUUGCAGGGUAUAGACCCGAAACCCGGUGAUCUAGCCAUGGGCAGGUUGAAGGUUGGGUAACACUAACUGGAGGACCGAACCGACUAAUGUUGAAAAAUUAGCGGAUGACUUGUGGCUGGGGGUGAAAGGCCAAUCAAACCGGGAGAUAGCUGGUUCUCCCCGAAAGCUAUUUAGGUAGCGCCUCGUGAAUUCAUCUCCGGGGGUAGAGCACUGUUUCGGCAAGGGGGUCAUCCCGACUUACCAACCCGAUGCAAACUGCGAAUACCGGAGAAUGUUAUCACGGGAGACACACGGCGGGUGCUAACGUCCGUCGUGAAGAGGGAAACAACCCAGACCGCCAGCUAAGGUCCCAAAGUCAUGGUUAAGUGGGAAACGAUGUGGGAAGGCCCAGACAGCCAGGAUGUUGGCUUAGAAGCAGCCAUCAUUUAAAGAAAGCGUAAUAGCUCACUGGUCGAGUCGGCCUGCGCGGAAGAUGUAACGGGGCUAAACCAUGCACCGAAGCUGCGGCAGCGACGCUUAUGCGUUGUUGGGUAGGGGAGCGUUCUGUAAGCCUGCGAAGGUGUGCUGUGAGGCAUGCUGGAGGUAUCAGAAGUGCGAAUGCUGACAUAAGUAACGAUAAAGCGGGUGAAAAGCCCGCUCGCCGGAAGACCAAGGGUUCCUGUCCAACGUUAAUCGGGGCAGGGUGAGUCGACCCCUAAGGCGAGGCCGAAAGGCGUAGUCGAUGGGAAACAGGUUAAUAUUCCUGUACUUGGUGUUACUGCGAAGGGGGGACGGAGAAGGCUAUGUUGGCCGGGCGACGGUUGUCCCGGUUUAAGCGUGUAGGCUGGUUUUCCAGGCAAAUCCGGAAAAUCAAGGCUGAGGCGUGAUGACGAGGCACUACGGUGCUGAAGCAACAAAUGCCCUGCUUCCAGGAAAAGCCUCUAAGCAUCAGGUAACAUCAAAUCGUACCCCAAACCGACACAGGUGGUCAGGUAGAGAAUACCAAGGCGCUUGAGAGAACUCGGGUGAAGGAACUAGGCAAAAUGGUGCCGUAACUUCGGGAGAAGGCACGCUGAUAUGUAGGUGAAGUCCCUCGCGGAUGGAGCUGAAAUCAGUCGAAGAUACCAGCUGGCUGCAACUGUUUAUUAAAAACACAGCACUGUGCAAACACGAAAGUGGACGUAUACGGUGUGACGCCUGCCCGGUGCCGGAAGGUUAAUUGAUGGGGUCAGCGCAAGCGAAGCUCUUGAUCGAAGCCCCGGUAAACGGCGGCCGUAACUAUAACGGUCCUAAGGUAGCGAAAUUCCUUGUCGGGUAAGUUCCGACCUGCACGAAUGGCGUAAUGAUGGCCAGGCUGUCUCCACCCGAGACUCAGUGAAAUUGAACUCGCUGUGAAGAUGCAGUGUACCCGCGGCAAGACGGAAAGACCCCGUGAACCUUUACUAUAGCUUGACACUGAACAUUGAGCCUUGAUGUGUAGGAUAGGUGGGAGGCUUUGAAGUGUGG